GACGAACGCUGGCGGCGUGCUUAACACAUGCAAGUCGAACGUGAUUCUUGUGGAAAUUCUUUCGGGAAUGGAAAUGAAAUGAAAGUGGCGAACGGGUGAGUAACACGUGAGCAACCUACCUUACACAGGGGGAUAGCCGUUGGAAACGACGAUUAAUACCGCAUGAGACCACAGAAUCGCAUGAUAUAGGGGUCAAAGAUUUAUCGGUGUAAGAAGGGCUCGCGUCUGAUUAGCUAGUUGGAAGGGUAAAGGCCUACCAAGGCGACGAUCAGUAGCCGGUCUGAGAGGAUGAACGGCCACAUUGGAACUGAGACACGGUCCAAACUCCUACGGGAGGCAGUAGUGGGGAAUAUUGCACAAUGGGGGGAACCCUGAUGCAGCGACGCCGCGUGAGCGAAGAAGGUUUUCGAAUCGUAAAGCUCUGUCCUAUGAGAAGAUAAUGACG
This 445-nucleotide ribosomal RNA is filed under the name Parvimonas micra. Its description in RNAcentral is "bacterial SSU rRNA". It matches the Rfam family "Bacterial small subunit ribosomal RNA", at positions 28 to 456 of the family's 1533-position model. The record is from RNAcentral. Lineage: Bacteria; Bacillati; Bacillota; Tissierellia; Tissierellales; Peptoniphilaceae.